This is a long non-coding RNA of Sciurus carolinensis (gray squirrel), 1649 nucleotides long. RefSeq lists it as uncharacterized. The record is from RefSeq and is a predicted model, not a curated record. The transcript is spliced from 4 exons. NCBI's taxonomy places the organism in Eukaryota, Metazoa, Chordata, Mammalia, Rodentia, Sciuridae.
CUGCCCCUGCGUGUCCUGAGUCGCCUUUGGAAAACCAGGAGGGAAUGUGGACCCGGGAGUCCAGUGGAGGCACAGAGGAGCAGAUGGCCUCUACUGCUCUGCAGCGCCUGCGAGUCACCACCUGGAAACCAGUGCCGAUGAUGUAACCACAGCAGCCGGAGGAACGCUCAGAGUUAAACUGCACAAGCCUCACCAUCGGUCUCCAGGUGGCCCUGGAACAGACAGUUCCUGUUUUUAACAGGCGCAGUUCCAGGCACUGGAGACGCUGGUCGACUCGAGACAGGUUCCUGACUUCAUGGAGUUCGCCUUCUAGGCCGGGGCAGGGGGGAAUUUGGACGCAGAGAGAGACAUGUCCAGAGAUGACAUGAAGACCCACCAGGACACAGAAACCUUCUGCAAGUCAAGGAAUGUCUGAGGCUGCCAGAAGCCCAAGGGUCCUGGAACAGAUCCUUCCUCACGGCCUUAGGGGGAGCCAGCCCUGCAGACACUUGAUCUUGGACUUGGACCUCCACAACUGAGAGACGUUCUUUUCUGUUAGGUCACCCUGCCCGUGGGGCCUUGUUGGAGCAGUCCUAGGAAAGCCAUACAGUGCCCUGGGCAGCUACAGAUCCGGAGACAGAACCACCAGGAAUCUUGACUGCAGCAGACCCUGUGGCCUUGAGUGGCUCCCUCGAUCCCAUGACCUUGGCUUCUCCGUGGGUUAAUAGGCAAAGCACUGCCCCUUCCCUCCCCCACGGAGGAUGCGGUAGCCCCAGUCGCAGAAAGACGGGUGCGUGGAUGCAUGGCUUGUGUGUGCCCUAAGCUAAGUGCACAACUGAUGGCCCUGGAGAAGAGCUACAGAACACGCCUAAAGGAGGGGAGAAGUUAGUCACCCACUAGUCUUUGUUUGGCGCUGAGAAAUUUUAAAAAAUUUAGUUUCAAAUCAUUUUAAGUGGUAAAAUAGACAUUCCAUAAAACUUGCCUCCGUAAGCAUUUUUAAGCAUGCAGUUCAACAGUGUGAAACACACUCAUUGCUCACCACCAGCCACGUCUAGAGCUUUCUCAUUUUGCAAAACUGAAACUCAGAACCCAUUAGACAACCCCACACCCUGGCCCCAGCCCCCACCCAGGAAACCACCAUUCUACUUUCUGUCUCUAUGAAUUUGACUCUUUUUGUACCUCAUCUAAGCCGAGCGGUACAGUUUCGUCUUUUUGUGACUGGCUGAUUUCACUCAGCAUAAUGUCCCCAGGUUUACCCAUUUCGCAGCAGGUGUCAGAAUUUCCUUCCUUUUUGGGCUGAAUGACAUGUCACUGUGUGUCUACACUGGGCUUGUUUAUCCAUUCAUCUGUGGAUGGACACUGACGUUACUUCCACUUUUGGGCUGUGACUGAUUCAUGCUGCCGUGGACACGUGGCUCCUCUUAAAUGCUGCCCUCAUCCUCCUCUGCUGUGGGGGUCCAGGGGUUGAUUUUUCCCUGGGUGUGACAAGCCUGGCAGGGUCCUGGCUGUGUGUCCUGCAGUCUCUGUCUGCGCAGACGUUCCCACGAAGCCAUUGUCAACGUCAGAUCAUUUAAGUUAUGACUGUUCUGGAGUUUUUUCCUGAAGGACCAUCUGUCUUAUCUCCGUUUGACUUUUUGAAAAUGUUGGAACUGUUUUUCAAUUGAAUACAA